RNAcentral lists this RNase P RNA (366 nucleotides) under marine eukaryotic metagenome. RNAcentral's name for it is "Bacterial RNase P class A". It matches the Rfam family "Bacterial RNase P class A". From Rfam's summary of the family: Ribonuclease P (RNase P) is a ubiquitous endoribonuclease, found in archaea, bacteria and eukarya as well as chloroplasts and mitochondria. Its best characterised activity is the generation of mature 5'-ends of tRNAs by cleaving the 5'-leader elements of precursor-tRNAs. The record is from RNAcentral.
GGCAAAGUGGUCGCUUUCUGCGGGGGCAGUCCUUGACGGCUGGCCCCAAUGGAAGAGGAAAGUCCGAGCUCCAGAGGGCAGGACGCUCCGUAACCCGGAGCGGGGGUAACCCCAGGGAAAGUGCCACAGAAAACAGACCGCCAUGGUUUUGGGACAUGGCAAGGGUGAAAAGGUGAGGUAAGAGCUCACCGCUUCCGAUGGCGACAUCGGGAGGCACGGUAAACCCCGUCCGGAGCAAGGUUGAAUAGGUCCCGCUCCUUGAGUUGCCCGUUCAAUAUGCGGGACGGGUACAACCGCACAAUACAGAUAGCAAUAUCUGUAUUAAGAUGAAUGACCACAUUUAACAGAACUCGGCUUAUUGCCUGC